RNAcentral lists this ribosomal RNA (521 nucleotides) under uncultured archaeon. RNAcentral's name for it is "bacterial SSU rRNA". It matches the Rfam family "Archaeal small subunit ribosomal RNA", at positions 325 to 848 of the family's 1478-position model. The record is from RNAcentral.
ACGGGGUGCAGCAGGCGCGAAAACUUGUCAAUGCGGGAAACCGCGAACAGGGGAGUCCCAAGUGCUUGCACUUUGUGUAAGCUGUUCGGUUGUCUAAAAAACAGCCGAAGGAAGGGCUGGGUAAGACAGGUGCCAGCCGCCGCGGUAAUACCUGCAGCCCGAGUGGUGAUCGAUUUUAUUGAGCCUAAAGCGUCCGUAGCCGGACUAGUAAACCCUUGGGUAAAUUGGGCAGCUUAACUGUCCAAAUUCCGAGGGGACUGCUAGUCUUGGGACCGGGAGAGGUCAGAGGUACUCCAGGGGUAGGGGCUAAAUCCUGUAAUCCUUGGGGGACCACCAGUGGCGAAGGCGUCUGACUAGAACGGAUCCGACGGUAAGGGACGAAACCCUGGGGCGCGAACCGGAUUAGAUACCCGGGUAGUCCAGGGCGUAAACGCUGCAGGCUUGGUGUUGGGGAUCCUACGAGGAUGCCCAGUGCCGGAGUGAAGAUGUUAAGCCUGCCGCUUGGGAGUACGUCCGCAAGG